AAAGUUCUGAGACUGAAUGCUGGAGAAAAGUUCUCUCAGAAAUAUACAUUGAGUCUUUGAUAACGUUGGUGAUACGUGCUGCUUCAUCUGCUAUCUCUGCAAGUGUGGCCUCACUUUCACUGUUAUUCCAACAUGUGUCAAGCGAAACAACAACAGAAAUAUGGAAAAGGAUAUAAUUAACCUACUUGUGAACAUUAACCUUAAAUAUCGUGCUAAUUAUCUCACUAAUUUAAUCACUGCAGAUCUCAAACUUGAUUGUUAAAUAUUUGAUUCUGCAAAUUGUUUUUGAUACAGAGGUGUGGAUAGCUUUCUGUGAAUAUAAGUUACUAUAUAAAACUCCUUGCAAAACCAUCGUAUAUUCACACUCCAGCCAACAAACCCCACUGUCAACAAGACUUUUAAUGGCAAUCACAGAAAACGUGCCCUGGGGCUAUGAGAUAUAGUGCCCUAUUAUUUGUAAAUCUAAUGAGCACAUUGUGCACUGAGUAGGCCAGGGUAAAUUUCUGUCUGCACAUCUUCAGGUUUGAUUCCACAGGACUCUGGACUGGAAAGCUUUUUUUUUUUUUUUUUUUUUUUUUUUUUUUUUUGUUUCUUUGGUUGUGGUUUAGCUGUAUAGUUGUGCAUUGAGUGUUAUCUAUUCACCUCCUGAUUACUUGAGCCACUCAGCAGAUGAUGUCCUUGAUCUUCAGCUCUUCUUAUCAAGUGAAUAUUUUGAGCUAAAAGUAACCUAAAAUGUGUUCAGAUGUUCCAACUACCAUGCCACCCAAAGUGGCUCUAAUUCCCGAGAAGAAGCUCUUGAAUCGGGGAGUGUUUGUGGAGGAGAUGAAAGCUCAGUGUUUGCUCCUGCUGCCCAGAAGGGAAGUGGGCUGCACUCGUGUUGCCUCAUGCCAGCACCCCACAGGGCCAGACGCUACUGGGCUGAGCAUAGCAAAGCAGGCCCAGCGGGACACCUCCAGCCUCUGUGGCUGGGGGAGCAAUUGCCAGGCCAUGGGAGCUGGGCAAACUCCUGGACGGGAGGAGAGACAAGCCAGGGCUCUUUGA
This 1041-nucleotide long non-coding RNA is filed under the name Anser brachyrhynchus (Pink-footed goose). Its description in RNAcentral is "lncRNA (ENSABRG00000014891.1)". Lineage: Eukaryota; Metazoa; Chordata; Aves; Anseriformes; Anatidae. The record is from RNAcentral.